RNAcentral lists this unclassified non-coding RNA (43 nucleotides) under Sorangium cellulosum So ce56. RNAcentral describes it as "sce_s2m_73". The record is from RNAcentral. Lineage: Bacteria; Pseudomonadati; Myxococcota; Polyangiales; Polyangiaceae.
AUGGGCGUGUCCCGCGCAGUCGAUGUGUUCGCGGUUCUGCUCC